AAAACCCCAAAUCACACAACCUUCCCCAAAUCAAAGAGCCUCCCCUCCACUUUCUUCAUCCGGAGACCGAAGCAAAUCCAGCAACCCAAUGAUUAUCUUCGCCUUGUUGGAAAAAUUGGUUUUAAUUAGUUGGUUUGACCAACUUUUGACCAAUUAAUUUAGUGGGUCCCGUUAAUCGGAAAUAAAAUUUCUUUGGCUGAAUGUGUUCUACUCCAUGAGUAGAUUAAUAUGGUAUAUUUAUUUUCUCAAAACCAAUUUAGGGUGAAUGAGAAAUUAAGUCUAAAAGAUACCCACUUGAUGUUGAAAUAAAAUAGGUGGGAAAUUGGAAAAUACCAAUCCCAUAUAGGAAAACUAAAAGAAUAUAAACCACCUUAUAUAGCUCAAGUUUGAGACUUGGGUUUGGGCCCCAAGGGGUACCAAUAGUUUUAGAGGGGGAGAGAACUUACAUGCUAGUAGGUUAAGCCAAAACUCACACGCGCGCGCCGCCGUCGCCGUCAGUCCGACCUGUCGGCACGGCACGGUCAUGGUCACGGGUCGUGGGUCGUGGGCUUGGACCAAGCUGAUAUAUAUUUUUUAGUAAAAUAACAUUUAAUUAUAUUAUUUUAUUAUUAUAAUAAUAAUAUAUUUUAUGUUAUUAACUUUUUUUUCCUUCCCCGAAUUUUCUGCGUGUGACACGUGGUAUGGUGCUUCUAGAAUUUAGCGGGUUGACUGUCCAAGUGACGGUUGACUAUCAAAGUGGCGAUUGACUGUCCAAGUGACGGUUGACUGUCCAAAGUGGCUGUUGACUGUCCAAACCAUUUGUGUCUUUUGGACACAACUUUUCGGCAGUUGUGUCUGUUGGGACACAACCUUUCAACAUCUAUAAAUAGGCCCUCAUACCUCGAUUUUUAUUCAUUCCAAAAAAUCAGAAUUGAUUUUCUACUCUCCCGAAAUUAUCCCUUUGUCCCUGUAUAAUUUCUGUUCUUAUAAUUCAGUUCUCGAAAAUUACUUUUCGUGCAUUUCACUCAUCCAGUGUGUGUGGAGAGAUCUAAACUUUACGAGUUCGUCGGGUCUUGUAAUUUGGAGUACUACUAUUACAAGACGAGGUCGUUGUAUCUUGGAAAACGAGUGCUGCAAUACCGUUAGUACCAGUGCGGGGCAUUAUCGUUUUAAGGAGAAAGAGUCGAACUCUUGCCUCGACCGUUCAAAACCAUCCAAACGUCGUUACUCUGCCCAAAUAUAUAUUACGGUAACACUAUUAUUUGCUAUUAUUUUUCAACACGCCUUCCGAUGCGGGGGAAGAGCAUUCAUCGCAAGACUUAUCUGUCCCAUUGUUUUGGUAUGCGAAAAAAAUCUUGUUUUGGCACGCGAAUAAAAUCUCCCACAAGCGAUUUCGGG
Molecule: long non-coding RNA, 1377 nt
Filed under: Olea europaea (common olive)
Lineage: Eukaryota; Viridiplantae; Streptophyta; Magnoliopsida; Lamiales; Oleaceae
Description: long non-coding RNA (OEUR_LNC005883)
Source: RNAcentral